GAUUUCUGGAUCGAUUGGCCUGUCCCGCCACGGUAACGUGAGUGAGUGACGGUGUUAAUCAUCCAUCCUUCUAAAUAUGUGUUUUAUGGUGAAUAACUGUAGAAUGUCAGUUUAGAUCGAUUACUGUGAACAAAUUAGAGUGUUUCAAGCAGGCAUAUUGCUAUGAAUACAUUAGCAUGGAAUAAUAAUUUAGGACUUCGGUUCUAUUUUGUUGGUUUCUAGGACUGAAGUAAUGAUUGAUAGGGAUAGUUGGGGGUGCUAGUAUUCAGCGGCCAGAGGUGAAAUUCUCGGAUUCGCUGAAGACUAACUUAUGCGAAAGCAUU
RNAcentral lists this ribosomal RNA (323 nucleotides) under uncultured Sandonidae. RNAcentral's name for it is "SSU rRNA". The stretch from base 112 to 323 matches the Rfam family "Eukaryotic small subunit ribosomal RNA", at positions 743 to 955 of the family's 1831-position model. Lineage: Eukaryota; Cercozoa; Glissomonadida; Viridiraptoridae. The record is from RNAcentral.